RNAcentral lists this long non-coding RNA (3692 nucleotides) under Pectinophora gossypiella (pink bollworm). RNAcentral's name for it is "uncharacterized LOC126380187". Lineage: Eukaryota; Metazoa; Arthropoda; Insecta; Lepidoptera; Gelechiidae. The record is from RNAcentral.
AGUUAGUUAUGAAUUAAGAAGAGAAAUUGAUCAAAUCGGAAAAUAAAAUGAAGUUACAUCACUUCCGUCAUGAAGUUGCAUCGCUCCGACGUCAGGUGGCCUACGGCCAGAGCUGCGUGAAGUCGGAGAGUCACUACAGAGUCGUCGUGUCGAGCGGACGUGUACUGCCGUUCUAGUCGGGCAGUCUACCGCGAACCAUCGUCAUGAGCGGACGUGUCGAAUAAUUACGAGGAGUGCUAUAGUCGCUCACCUAUAACUUGUAGGGACGUCAAGAAAGUGUGAUCGGAAAAGAGCACGUGUCCCGAUGCUUCGGUCCGAAUAUAGGAACCAUGGGUGGUGGAGGGCAAGUAGAGGGCGAGUAGCCCCUUCGCGCUAACGUCCUUAUGCGCGCUAGAUAACGUGAGACUGUGUAACCGUUACGAAUACCGUGACGUUGCCGUGAGUGUGUACCUUGUGCUGUGACUUUAUUUAAUCGUGAUACAAAAACUAUGUGGAAGUAAAUAAAAUGAUUGUGAUACUGAUGACGGCCAUUAUUGUCUUCUAACGCCCACCCUCCUUUCUGAUGAUGAUGUUACGACCUCACUGUUACGACAUCAGAAGCGGGAUUAGUGGACUUGGAUGAAGACAACGUGAUGCGACGUUCACAACAAGACAAUGCAAGUUUCGAUUAUCACAAUCAGAAGAAGAUUAUGAUGAUUAUCACAUUCGUGUGACCACGUGAUGAAGAUGUAGUGUCAUGCCUAAAUUUGGAGAUGGACCUGACUUUGAAGUGACCUGGACCUUGUUAAUGAUCGGCAUCACUACAUGCCGUAAGAUAUGAUGGCGUGAACAUCACAAUAUUUCCAUAAUGUGUGUAGUCGUGUUUGGAAAUUAUAGUACCUCAACUUGGAAACUGUUAUAACGGUGAGUCGUUUUCAUACUGGAACCUUAUUGUUUUUUUACUUCAUUGCUAUGUGAAUUUUCGUUUCUAAUAAUGAGGAAAUUGAUUUAAAAUUAACUUGGAAAUUACUAUUUCCCUUUGUUUAAAAAGAAAAUUGACGAGACAUAUUGUGUCAAUCCGUGUCAAUCAUACCGCGUUUUCCAAUCUGUUUUCAUCAUCGUCAAAUCUUUGUAUUUUGGUCUAAAAAUAUUUCGAAUUGGUGUAGACACGCUUAACCUGGGUGGUUAAAGUUGUAUUUUCUCAAUCCAUGCGAAAAGAAAUUAAUCAUGACAUGAUAAUUGAGUCUCGAUAAAUAACGUGUUUUGUAAUCUACCGUCAUUCAUCAAAUGUUUCAAAAUUCAACAUUCUUUAUUGAAAUCUUUUUAAACCGGUUGAAAGAAAGUCACUUGAAUACGAUAAUACAGUGAAUUCUUUUGUUUCAUGUCAUAACUUGCCACGUGGUACGGCAACUGGUGGAUUGCAAGCGGCGAUGUAAGUGGUGCGGGCUGAGCUGUAGCCGUGUAAAGUGAUGUUAUCAUGGCAGCGCGUUGUAUACCAGCCGGACUUGCUGCGCUGAUGCUGUUGAAGACCUAAACCAUGUCACAAGACCAGUGGUUGAUCUUUUAUUGGAAAUUCUUAUAAGUCCUGGUGAGUCGUAUCUGUUUUACCUGAUUUGAAAGAUGGGAAGUUUUAAUAGGAUUCAAAUGAAUAUAGUGCAAAAAGUUAUCUUUUGUUAACUUUAGUUAAAUCAGAAAUCGUAAUGAAUUGAAGUAAACAUUCUGAAGUAAAAUGAUUUGGAUUAUGAUUACUUAAAUGAAAUAGGCUUAGAAAAUGCCCGAAACAGUAAAUCAUUAGUGAGAAAAUUGGAGCAAAACAUUCUAAAUAAUGAUAAUACCGAAUUGGUAAUUGUUUAAGUGCGGUAAUAUUUCCUCGAGGUGUUGGUCGCUACAUUGUGACUUUAUGACUUGUGUGUGUGAAAGCAGGGUGCUCUGUCGUUUUGUGGUCGUGGACCAUGGUGGCCAUCCCGGGAGGGGAUGUUGUGACUCAUGACUGUUUUGUAGCGUAACCGCAGUUUGGGGAGGAAUAUUACAGUCUGUUGUGCUUUGCAGUAGAUGUGUAAUGUUGGUUGAUUUAAUUGAGUAAUGAAAGCUAUGAUUGACCUGUUUCGGAGCAACUCUGAUAGGAAGCUGUGCACUUGUAGUGUUCGGGGCUGCAGCCACUUUUGUGCUGCUCGUCUUAGAAACUACAGGUAUGCGGUCGAGGCCUGGAUGUCAUGUUGACUUGGUAUUUGGUCAUGACAUUGUACCUGAAUCUAAGUCAAGUUGACCUCCGGUAGAAUUAGUCGAACUGCACAAAUUAGAAAUUAGUGAUAUAAAAGAAAUUGUGUAACGCAUUGACCACUAUUCUACCAACUAAGAUGUAAAGUUUGUGUGCUAGCUGUGUUGAGAUAUCGUCACUUGGUGUAAGUGGCAUGAGUUGCUGUCGCUCGAUUUAGGUGGCAGUGACGACUGUGUUGAGAUAUCGUCACUUGGUGUAAGUGGCAUGAGUUGCUACCGCUCGAUUUAGGUGGUAGUGACGCCUGGUUGCGAGAUAUCGUCACUCAGUAGAGUGGCACGAGUUGCUACCGCUCGAUUUAGGUGGUAGUGACGCCUGGUUGUUAGAUAUCGUCACUCAGUAGAGUGGCAUGAGUUGCUACCGCUCGAUUUAGGUGGUAGUGACGCCUGGUUGUUAGAUAUCGUCACUCAGUAGAGUGGCAUGAGUUACUAUCGCUCGUUUAGGUGAUAGUAACGACAGACGUGUAAAGAGUAAUUGGAUUUUCAAGUUUGGUUGUUUAUAGUGUGUGAAUACUGGUCAAUGGUCCGUUUACCGUGUCGGAGUAGUUGAUUUAUCAUGAUGUAAUGUGAACUCGUGUAGAGUCACGAGUAGAGCUCAUGUAGAGUCACGAGUAGAGCUCAUGUAGAGUCACGAGUAGAGCUCGUGUAGAGUCACGAGUAGAGCUCGUGUAGAGUCACGAGUAGAGCUCAUGUAGAGUCACAAGUAGAGCUCAUGUAGAGUCACAAGUAGAGCUCAUGUAGAGUCACAAGUAGAGCUCAUAUAGAGUCACAAGUAGAGCUCAUGUAGAGUCACAAGUAGAGCUCAUGUAGAGUCUCAUGUUAGGUCAGGAAUGACCGAGCGAACUUGGAUACUGUGCUGUGGUAUAUUGUUUCAGAUUAACACACGAGGACGUGUGUCACGCAGGAUGGCCGUGUCGGAGUUAGUUAUGAAUUAAGAAGAGAAAUUGAUCAAAUCGGAAAAUAAAAUGAAGUUACAUCACUUCCGUCAUGAAGUUGCAUCGCUCCGACGUCAGGUGGCCUACGGCCAGAGCUGCGUGAAGUCGGAGAGUCACUACAGAGUCGUCGUGUCGAGCGGACGUGUACUGCCGUUCUAGUCGGGCAGUCUACCGCGAACCAUCGUCAUGAGCGGACGUGUCGAAUAAUUACGAGGAGUGCUAUAGUCGCUCACCUAUAACUUGUAGGGACGUCAAGAAAGUGUGAUCGGAAAAGAGCACGUGUCCCGAUGCUUCGGUCCGAAUAUAGGAACCAUGGGUGGUGGAGGGCAAGUAGAGGGCGAGUAGCCCCUUCGCGCUAACGUCCUUAUGCGCGCUAGAUAACGUGAGACUGUGUAACCGUUACGAAUACCGUGACGUUGCCGUGAGUGUGUACCUUGUGCUGUGACUUUAUUUAAUCGUGAUACAAAAACUAUGUGGAAGUAAAUAAAAUGAUUGUGAUACUGA